AUUGAACGCUGGCGGCAUGCCUUACACAUGCAGGUCGAACGGCAGCACGGGUGCUUGCACCUGGUGGCGAGUGGCGAACGGGUGAGUAAUACAUCGGAACAUGUCCUGUAGUGGGGGAUAGCCCGGCGAAAGCCGGAUUAAUACCGCAUACGAUCUACGGAUGAAAGCGGGGGACCUUCGGGCCUCGCGCUAUAGGGUUGGCCGAUGGCUGAUUAGCUAGUUGGUGGGGUAAAGGCCCACCAAGGCGACGAUCAGUAGCUGGUCUGAGAGGACGACCAGCCACACUGGGACUGAGACACGGCCCAGACUCCUACGGGAGGCAGCAGUGGGGAAUUUUGGACAAUGGGCGAAAGCCUGAUCCAGCAAUGCCGCGUGUGUGAAGAAGGCCUUCGGGUUGUAAAGCACUUUUGUCCGGAAAGAAAUCCUUGGCCCUAAUACGGUCGGGGGAUGACGGUACCGGAAGAAUAAGCACCGGCUAACUACGUG
RNAcentral lists this ribosomal RNA (486 nucleotides) under uncultured bacterium. RNAcentral's name for it is "partial 16S ribosomal RNA". It matches the Rfam family "Bacterial small subunit ribosomal RNA", at positions 30 to 507 of the family's 1533-position model. The record is from RNAcentral.